This 372-nucleotide ribosomal RNA is filed under the name uncultured organism. Its description in RNAcentral is "partial 16S ribosomal RNA". It matches the Rfam family "Bacterial small subunit ribosomal RNA", at positions 527 to 896 of the family's 1533-position model. The record is from RNAcentral.
GUAGGUGGCAAGCGUUGUCCGGAAUUAUUGGGCGUAAAGCGCGCGCAGGCGGUUCUUUAAGUCUGAUGUGAAAGCCCACGGGCUCAACCGUGGAGGGUCAUUGGAAACUGGAGAACUUGAGUACAGAAGAGGAAAGCGGAAUUCCACGUGUAGCGGUGAAAUGCGUAGAGAUGUGGAGGAACACCAGUGGCGAAGGCGGCUUUCUGGUCUGUAACUGACGCUGAGGCGCGAAAGCGUGGGGAGCAAACAGGAUUAGAUACCCUGGUAGUCCACGCCGCAAACGAUGAGUGCUAAGUGUUAGGGGGUUUCCGCCCCUUAGUGCUGCAGCUAACGCAUUAAGAACUCCGCCUGGGGAGUACGGCCGCAAGGCUG